This 253-nucleotide ribosomal RNA is filed under the name uncultured prokaryote. RNAcentral's name for it is "partial 16S ribosomal RNA". It matches the Rfam family "Bacterial small subunit ribosomal RNA", at positions 524 to 776 of the family's 1533-position model. The record is from RNAcentral.
UACAGAGGUCCCGAGCGUUGUUCGGAUUCACUGGGCGUAAAGGGUGCGUAGGUGGCAUGGUAAGUUUGAUGUGAAAGCUCAGGGCUCAACCCUGAAAUGGCAUUGAAUACUACUGUGCUGGAGGUUUGGAGGGGGGACUGGAAUUCUUGGUGUAGCAGUGAAAUGCGUAGAUAUCAGGAGGAAUACCGGAGGCGAAGGCGGAUAGCUGGGCCAACACUGACGCUGAGACCCGAAAGCGUGGGGAUCAAACAGG